GGGCUGAAGGGGUGUGGGGGGAUGAGCCGGACGGGGACAGAAUAUUUGGGGGGUGCAGGAGGCUAAGCGGGGCUGGGGUAGGGGGAGUUCGGUGGACGGGGCAGAGGAACUGGGGACUGAAGAGCUGCAAGGAGGCUGGGGGAGAAUGCAGGGUAGGAGAUGGGAAAUAGUGUGCAAAUAGUCACAUGAGGGAAGGGUUAGAUCUAAAUGGGCCUCGGGACCCUUGAGGAGCCACUGACUUCAGCAACAUUUAUUGCUGAACACACAAGAUCUGUGUAGAGUCUAUAUCUGUACUGAUGGUGCAAAGUACCACCUCCUCUGCGCUGCUGUGUGACAGGUCUUGGUGACAGCUUUACAUUCAUUUCUCUCUUCCUGUGGAGAAGGAAGUUUCUAUGGGGAAUGUAUACCUAGGAGUAUAAUUGUGGUUCUCCCUUAACAGGAGAAGCCAUGUGGUUUCUGUUAAGUA
Molecule: long non-coding RNA, 466 nt
Organism: Grus americana (Whooping crane)
Lineage: Eukaryota; Metazoa; Chordata; Aves; Gruiformes; Gruidae
Exons: 3
Source: RefSeq, a predicted model, not a curated record